GCCCCUAUAGCUCAACGGAUAGAGCACUGGUUUUCUAAACCCGUGAUAAAGGUUCGAUUCCUUUUAGGGGCACCA
This 75-nucleotide transfer RNA is filed under the name Parcubacteria group bacterium CG10_big_fil_rev_8_21_14_0_10_35_15. Its description in RNAcentral is "tRNA-Arg". It matches the Rfam family "tRNA". Rfam says of the family: Transfer RNA (tRNA) molecules are approximately 80 nucleotides in length. Their secondary structure includes four short double-helical elements and three loops (D, anti-codon, and T loops). The record is from RNAcentral.